UUUCUUUCAGCCAUGCUGGACAAUGGGCAUCUCCUUUUGACUCACUUUCACAGCUUUGAGAGGCUCUCAGAUCAGCCACAUUCCAAUCGGACUGGAGUCAGAUCAGAGCUGUGCUGGACCGCAUCAAGGUCUCGCACAGAAAGACAAGGAGCAGAUGGCCGGCACCGAGCCCUCCUCCCCCUUUCAGCGUGCAAAGGCAGGCAAUGUGGGAAAGCGUUCGCCCGGCAUUGCCUAUUGAUCCCUGAAUAGAACCACCGCAUGCCACCAGCCUGUAGUUAGAAAGCUGCUCUGCUCAAUAAGAGCCCAAAUGAAUGACUACAUUCUUCAAAGAGACAAACUAAGAAUACACACUUUCAGUCAACUAAAUGACCUAAUACUGAAAAUACAAUGGCUUCAGAAAAGACAGACUAUUUACAGAACUCUAUUCGUGAAACAGACAUUAGAGACAAUCCAAUCCGAUCUCUGUUACAUUCAGCAAUAGUAUGGUGGUCAGACCUGGGUCAGAGAGACAUGGGUGGAUUACUCAACCUCUCUAAGCAUCAGCUUCAUUACCUGUAAAAGGAAAUAACAG
Molecule: long non-coding RNA, 571 nt
Filed under: Homo sapiens (human)
Lineage: Eukaryota; Metazoa; Chordata; Mammalia; Primates; Hominidae
Description: HSALNT0102239
Source: RNAcentral